UACGUAGGUGGCAAGCGUUGUCCGGAUUUAUUGGGUUUAAAGGGUGCGUAGGCGGCUUAUUAAGUCAGUGGUGAAAUAUCGCAGCUCAACUGUGAGGGUGCCAUUGAUACUGAUGAGCUUGAGUGGAGUCGAGGUAGGCGGAAUUGACGGUGUAGCGGUGAAAUGCUUAGAUAUCGUCAAGAACACCGAUAGUGAAGACAGCUUACUAGACUUCAACUGACGCUGAGGCACGAAAGUGUGGGGAUCAAACAGG
RNAcentral lists this ribosomal RNA (253 nucleotides) under uncultured bacterium. RNAcentral's name for it is "partial 16S ribosomal RNA". It matches the Rfam family "Bacterial small subunit ribosomal RNA", at positions 524 to 776 of the family's 1533-position model. The record is from RNAcentral.